Molecule: long non-coding RNA, 602 nt
Filed under: Mus musculus (house mouse)
Lineage: Eukaryota; Metazoa; Chordata; Mammalia; Rodentia; Muridae
Description: predicted gene 45040
Source: RNAcentral
AUCAGCUCCUGCUUCCUGACCUACCUGCCUGAGUUCCAGUCCUGACUUCCUUUGGUGAUGAACAGCAGCAUGGAAGUAAGAAGACUCGUGAAGUUGGAGAUGUGAUUGGAAAGCACACAUGCCAAGAGCCUGGACGUGGAUGAAGUGCCUUGCCAAGUUACAAAUGAGUGCAAGAGCUGCUAUCAAACAAAGUGUUGCCUGGAAGCCACUGGAACCACCUGUAAAAGGAACUUGAAGUCAGAGCAGUGAACUUGGAGAACUCACCGCUCAAAGCAGAAAUCUUGGUGAAGCAUAGAGAGAACCAUUGCAGUUUUCUAAGGACAUAUCAUGAAGGUUAUUGUUCUACAGUUUCUGUGAUCCUGAUGUUAAGUGGAAGCACAUUAUACUUAUCUCUCUUGCACAUGGCACCACUGUGUUAUCUCAAAAAUGUGUCAUAAGCUAUCUUUAUGCCAUUACCUUUCUCCUUCUACCUUGAUGUCUAUAUGAUGUACUUGUUUUAUAUUCAGCAUGGGGGGAGGUACACAACAUGGAGCAAGGAAACUGUGAGCUGUGGAGGGGAUGAAGGAAAUGUAAACAUUUUGGCAUCAGUGAAAAAAAUUUUU